ACUGACGCUGAGGAGCGAAAGCGUGGGGAGCGAACAGGAUUAGAUACCCUGGUAGUCCACGCCGUAAACGGUGGAUGCUGGAUGUGGGGCCCGUUCCACGGGUUCCGUGUCGGAGCUAACGCGUUAAGCAUCCCGCCUGGGGAGUACGGCCGCAAGGCUAAAACUCAAAGAAAUUGACGGGGGCCCGCACAAGCGGCGGAGCAUGCGGAUUAAUUCGAUGCAACGCGAAGAACCUUACCUGGGCUUGACAUGUUCCCGACGGUCGUAGAGAUACGGCUUCCCUUCGGGGCGGGUUCACAGGUGGUGCAUGGUCGUCGUCAGCUCGUGUCGUGAGAUGUUGGGUUAAGUCCCGCAACGAGCGCAACCCUCGCCCCGUGUUGCCAGCGGAUUAUGCCGGGAACUCACGGGGGACCGCCGGGGUUAACUCGGAGGAAGGUGGGGAUGACGUCAGAUCAUCAUGCCCCUUACGUCCAGGGCUUCACGCAUGCUACAAUGGCCGGUACAACGGGAUGCGACGCGGCGACGCGGAGCGGAUCCCUGAAAACCGGUCUCAGUUCGGAUCGCAGUCUGCAACUCGACUGCGUGAAGGCGGAGUCGCUAGUAAUCGCGAAUCAGCAACGUCGCGGUGAAUGCGUUCCCGGGCCUUGUACACACCGCCCGUCAAGUCAUGAAAGUGGGCAGCACCCGAAGCCGGUGGCCUAACCCGUUGUGGGAUGGAGCCGUCUAAGGUGAGGCUCGUGAUUGGGACUAAGUCGUAACAAGGUAGCCGUACCGGAAGGUGCGGCUG
This 787-nucleotide ribosomal RNA is filed under the name gut metagenome. RNAcentral's name for it is "bacterial SSU rRNA". It matches the Rfam family "Bacterial small subunit ribosomal RNA", at positions 739 to 1520 of the family's 1533-position model. The record is from RNAcentral.